This is a long non-coding RNA of Ctenopharyngodon idella (grass carp), 1984 nucleotides long. RefSeq lists it as uncharacterized. Lineage: Eukaryota; Metazoa; Chordata; Actinopteri; Cypriniformes; Xenocyprididae. The record is from RefSeq and is a predicted model, not a curated record. The transcript is spliced from 3 exons.
ACUGUUUGUGUUUCUUGAAAAUUAUUGCUUCAAUUAAUUUUUUGGUAGAUAGAACCUUUAUAAUUCCAAGCGAAAAGUGAUGUUUUAGAAUUAGAAGGUUCUAUCUGCGUUUGACCCGUUCGAAAAAUCCCCAUUUACAAAUUUGAGAGGAUUUUGAUAUUGUAUAUUUAGAAUACAUUUAGGGUCCCUGUCAUUUUCAUGUUUGAAAGAAACUUGUUCCCCAUAUAAUUUUUGCUAUGUGGAAUACAAAAACUUUGAAGCUCAAUAUCUCAAAACUGCUCAGAACGCAGAUAGAACCUCAUAAUUCCAAGGGGACGAAGUGUUGUGUAGGCUUUUAGUUUUUAUAGAAAUAAAUAAAAUAAAUUAGUCUGAGGGCCAGCACACCGUUUACAGUCUACAUAUGGUCAUCAGUUCUCAUUUUCUCUAUUAGGGAUGGUGGCAAAACUUUAUCUAGUAAGAAUGACACCAUUUUUUUAGUAAUCUUGACUAAAUGAAUUUAAGUUCUUACAACACAUUAUUUCAAACAAAUUUGAUAUUAUUGGAAAAAUGUAAUUCAAUUUCGUGGAAAAGUUUUCCUUAAUUUAAUGAAGUUCGUUCAACAGCUUUUUUUUUAAUGUGCACAAAUAAAAUGUUUAGGUCACAGCUGUGUCUCUGAGAAAAAAAUUACCAGAGAUUUGAUAGUUUUGAUCGUUUUGAUGUUAUUGAACUCUGAAACCAGAACGAACAACUUUUGUUUGUUUGUUUGUUUGAAUGAUCUGAAUGUAUGCGUUCUCAGCCACAUCAAACCAUGACUGGCUUGACUGUUCAAGGCUUAUACGUUAAAGAUUGCAUAUGACCGAACAUUUUACCGUACUCUUUUUUAUGGAUCCUAAAAUUUCACAUACAGGACAAAUGAGCAGCCCUGAGUCCAAACCCACGGGCUUCAUCACAUAAAUGCAGUUACGUACAGUCCUGUCAGACAAGCUGUCCCACUUCACCCUGAUCUGAUUUCCUAAUAAUUUAUAAUUUAGUAAUAGGCCAAUUAUUUGUGAAAGCAGUAGGCCUAUUUGCGAUAAAUGAGAAAUUGACAACUUGAGGGAUUUUUUUUAUAGCAACAAAACUUAUGCUUAUUUUUUUAGGGAUGACGUCAUUACGCACACCAUUUUAUUGGUAAAAGGCCAAUUAGAUGGAAACAGGCUGGUGAAAUCAAAUUUCGCAAUCUUUUUUAGGCAUAUUCACUUUGUCGAUAAAUAAAAUGCAAAAAUUGGAUGGAAACGUGAAACUUCAUUGUUUUGGAAAUAAUCCACAAGUUGCGAUUUGAGGAGUGUCUUAGGGACACGUCCACAACAGGGGAAAUAUAAUGAAUGUUCAUGUAGCUACACCCACUGGAACAGUUUUUUACUGGAACUGAAUAUUACACAACAACCCCAAAGUGAAACUCCGCCUAUUCAUUCAGCCCUUUGAUGUCAUGUGAUUUUGGGAGCAUAAAUAGUGGAACAGAAUCAAUCUGUGAGACAGACUGCCUGAUAAUACAGUUUAUUUCAUCCAGGCUUUGAUCACCAGCACACUGAAGAAAUGUCAAAUCUUGCAGAAUGGACCACAGAGGAGACUAUCACUCCAGAGGUGGAGAAGAUCUGCUGUGAGGUGAAGUCAGACAUAGAGAAGAAGGCUGGAGCCAAUUUUAAGGCUUACAUUCCUUUAAGCUUUAGGACUCAGCUUGUGGCCGGAAGAAACUAUCUGGUGAAGGUGUACGUUGAAGUGGGUGUGUGUGUUCAUGCGAUGAUAUUUCAAGCUCUCCCCUGCAAUGGAGGGAAACUGACUGUGAUUGGAGUCCAGUACACUAAAAGCGCCUGUGAAUGUCUGAUCCCAUUUCAUGACUAACCACAUGCAGAAAACAGUCUGUCUUAUCUAAUAACAGACACACACAAUGAUCUGCCAUACUGUAUAGAGGAACUAUUGAAAACUGUUUCAUUCCUCAAUAUUAAACUCAAUAUUCAAACUCUCA